AGAGUUUGAUCCUGGCUCAGGAUGAACGCUGGCGGCGUGCCUAACACAUGCAAGUUGAGCGAUUUACUUCGGUAAAGAGCGGCGGACGGGUGAGUAACGCGUGGGUAACCUACCCUGUACACACGGAUAACAUACCGAAAGGUAUGCUAAUACGGGAUAAUAUAUUUGAGAGGCAUCUCUUAAAUAUCAAAGGUGAGCCAGUACAGGAUGGACCCGCGUCUGAUUAGCUAGUUGGUAAGGUAACGGCUUACCAAGGCGACGAUCAGUAGCCGACCUGAGAGGGUGAUCGGCCACAUUGGAACUGAGACACGGUCCAAACUCCUACGGGAGGCAGCAGUGGGGAAUAUUGCACAAUGGGCGAAAGCCUGAUGCAGCAACGCCGCGUGAGUGAUGAAGGCCUUCGGGUCGUAAAACUCUGUCCUCAAGGAAGAUAAUGACGGUACUUGAGGAGGAAGCCCCGGCUAACUACGUGCCAGCAGCCGCGGUAAUACGUAGGGGGCUAGCGUUAUCCGGAUUUACUGGGCGUAAAGGGUGCGUAGGCGGUCUUUCAAGUCAGGAGUGAAAGGCUACGGCUCAACCGUAGUAAGCUCUUGAAACUGGGAGACUUGAGUGCAGGAGAGGAGAGUGGAAUUCCUAGUGUAGCGGUGAAAUGCGUAGAUAUUAGGAGGAACACCAGUUGCGAAGGCGGCUCUCUGGACUGUAACUGACGCUGAGGCACGAAAGCGUGGGGAGCAAACAGGAUUAGAUACCCUGGUAGUCCACGCUGUAAACGAUGAGUACUAGGUGUCGGGGGUUACCCCCUUCGGUGCCGCAGCUAANCACUCAUCUUCUAAUUACCUCCCACUUAUUAUUGAUUUGGUCAUUGCUAUUUUUCCAUUUGCAAAACUUAUCAAAGCAUUAUAUUGUAAUGUUGCCAUUGCUUGAUUUACUUUUUCUUCUUCUAUGUCUACAUUAUUACCAUCUACUCUUAAACCUUUAGAAUUGUCUGUUUUUUCUUCUAUUUUAGGCAUAGUAUCAUUUAGUGUUUCUUCAAAAGUUAUAUAAUGUCUUUUAUAUCCUUCAGUAUUUAUAUUUGCUAUAUUAUUUGCUAUUGUCUGACUUCUUAGAUUAGUUGCAUCUAAUCCCAUUUUUAUAAUGUCAUAUGUAUUCACACUCACCCCUCCUCAAAAUAUAUUUUAUCUAUUUUGUUUAUUAAUAAAAAAUGAAGUUGCUAUAUUACAAAAAAGAGCAACUUUUUGAAGAAAUAUUUAAAUACAUAUUAAAAUUUUUUUAUAUUUUCAUGGGACUUCAUUGAAAAAAUAUUAGUUUUCUUACUAAAAUGAUACAUUAUUGUAUUAAUGUAAUGGAAAUGCGAUUAAUUUAAAUGAAUAAAGAAGUCAUUUUUUGUAAAAUAGUAACUUUUUGAGAUAAUUUUUCUUUAUUUUAUGUUAUAAUUGGUAAAAUAUGUUAUUAUAUGUGUUUUCUACUAAAAUAAAGUAAUUUUUCCAUAACAAAAUGACUGCCAAAAAGGCAGUCAUUCUAGACUUUUCUUAGGUAUACAAUACACCUAGGACUCUUUUUGGCAACUGGCUGACAUAGUUCAUGUAUACAAACCUUAGUCCCUAUAGCUUUGCGUCACUAGAUUUCUCUAGAUUUGCCUAUUUAGUUUUAACUUAAGUAUACAAUAAAUAACAAAUUUUUUAAAUAUUUUUUUAAGUAUUUUUUCUAUAUAAUUUUUUAAUUUAAUUUUUAAUAUUAAUUUUUAUAAUAUUUUUAAUAUAUUUAUAUUUAUAACAUUUAAUUUAUAUAAUGUACAUAUAUAUUAAAAAUAUACAAAAAUUUACAAUAUAAAAUAAAUUUAUUCUAAGUUUGUCUUUUACAAUAAUUUCAUUAAGACCAUAUAUUCUAACAUUACUUUCCAAUUAUAUGCUUAGGAGUACAUAUCUAUUUAAAGUUUUCCCUUUUAUUUUCACUUUUAGGGAUAAAAAAUUUGUAAUUUUCUCUACUUUUGAUAAAUUUUAUUUUAGACUGGUUAUAUAGGAAUACAGUCUAAAAUGUUGUAUAGAGUAACAAAAUAAAUUUAAAAAAGGUCAAACUUUAAUUAAUUUGCCCUUUAUUAUCUUAUAUUUAUUAAAAUUGAUAAUUUUUUAACUCCUUCUUAAGCCUAAAUUUAUCUAAUUAUCAAUUAAUUUUAACUAAAUAUGGUUAUUCAAAACGUAUUCUAAUACAUUAGUAUGUAUUUUUUCACCACAACUUCCAUCUGUAUUUGAUAGUACACUAUUUAAAGAAUUUAAUCUUUGAUUUAGCUUAUAAUCAUUAUUAUUUUUUACUAAGUUCAUAAAUUUUAUUAAAUCCAUAUCUUCUUCUCCUACUAUAUAAUUUGAAAAUAUAUCGAAUAUUCUUGAAUCAUAAUAUCCACGUUCCAUAUCUAUAUCAUAAAUUAAUAUAGGUUUCUUCGUUUGAAUAUAUUCUAUUAAUACAGAAGACCUAUCCGUUAUUAAAGCAUGGGAUAAGUUGAAUGAUUCAUAGUAAGAUACAGAGUCAUCUAAAAUAAUAUUAUUUUUUAUAGAUAUUGAAUCUAGCAAAGUUUUGUAUCUAUUAAAACAUUCUGGAACUUUAGAUUUUACAUACUCAAGUUCUAAUGGAUGUGGUCUAUAUAUAAGACCAUACUCUUGACUAUUUUCAAUAAUAUCAAAUACAUUUUCAAUCUCAUCAAUGACACCAUCUUUUCCAUUAGGUAUUUUCAUUAGAUUAGUUGUCCAUAAGAAAAUUAUUUUACCCUUUAAUUUAGAUUCAUAAUCUUUAUUUAUAUUAUUCUGUUUUAAAUUGUAAAUUAAAGAAUCAAAUUUUGGAGAUCCCAUUGUUAGUAUUUGAUUUUUAUUUAUACCACUACAUUCUGCUAUAAUUUCAAAUGCAGGAGAUUGCACAAUAACCUUAUCAAAAUUUCUAGAUGCUAUCAGUUCAUAAAAAUUUAAGUAAAAACUAACAGGAUAAGUUCCAAGUAUUCCAUAAGCAACAUAUACAAGCAUAUUAGUAUAUUGUUUCAAGUUAUAAGAAAAAUAAUUACUAUCUACCAUUGUAGCAUUGUUACAAUCAUCAUAUUGAUUAUGAACAUAUAUUAUAUCAGGCUUCUCCUUAGAUAAAUCAAAAUCAUCAUAAUGUAUUAUUGGAACAUAUUCAGGAAAAUCAUUACCUUCAUAUGUAUAUAUUUGAGUUAUACCAUUAGGCGUAUCAAUUAACUUGUAAUAAGGUAUGGGAACUACAUAGCAGUCACACUGCUCAUCCAAAACCG
Molecule: ribosomal RNA, 3271 nt
Filed under: Clostridioides difficile
Lineage: Bacteria; Bacillati; Bacillota; Clostridia; Peptostreptococcales; Peptostreptococcaceae
Description: bacterial SSU rRNA
Rfam family: Bacterial small subunit ribosomal RNA (bases 1-844)
Source: RNAcentral